UGCCCCUCCCCUGCUCUCGCUCAAAACAAGUGAACACUAAAAAAAAAUACUAACAGUUGGUGAGACGUCACCAAGUGUGGAAAUCAUACACCGCCCUUACUGCCGAGGCGGAUGCCUGAUGAGUUUUGUCAGCGACUGUCCAUCAUGAAGUCUGCAGAGGAUGUGAGAAAAUGAUUCGCUUUCAUUUCCUCAAGAAAAAGGGUGGCUUUGGUUUGAAGCUCUCAAGCAAAGCCCGUGCCUUGCCAUUCAGAAUGUGCUCGGUCCAAGACAAGGAAUAUAUGAAACAGAGAGAUGAACACAAGUAAGCUCGGGCAGAGGGAGGGGACACUGGCGGGCACCCUACUCCCCUCUUGCUGCGUCUCCAGGCACCUGUCUGCCCCCAAGUCCCGGACUUGAGCUGAGAAACCCUGCCCUUCCUUCCCGGAAGUCCCCCUGACAAGAAACCCUGCUUCCGUACCUUUGGAGGCUUCGCGAACCUGCACAGGAAGGGCAGGAAAGGGACUGCAUUUGGAUGACACGCUUGGAAGACACAAGAAGACUCUGUGGCCUGGGUGCAGGAAGGUCUGUCUUCUCAGGGAACCACAGAGGAUAAGCUCUACCAGAGAAAGAGAGAAAAUCCAGAAAACGAAGACAAAGAAUCCAACAUAGGAGAGACAAGAGAUUUUAACAAGCCCUUUGACUUCCUAGAAAACAGAAGAGUUAGCUUUUGAACACCCCUUCCCACCCGUUCCCCAUUUGUCCUUUCAAGUGAGUCAGAAAGCAACAUUAAUAAACUAAUCAGAAACGAGUAUUUGUGUUGUUACAAUAUCUUGUACAUCGCUCUCGGCUGAGCCAGCGGUACACCAUGAUUAGCGUUAUUAUACAACUUUUCCUGGAAUUGGUGGAGCCCAGUUUCCCCUGGAACUGAGUCAACACAGUCCACUUCCCCCUGGAGACGUCCUUCUGAGCGCCCUCAUCUUCC
Molecule: long non-coding RNA, 961 nt
Organism: Lynx canadensis (Canada lynx)
Lineage: Eukaryota; Metazoa; Chordata; Mammalia; Carnivora; Felidae
Exons: 3
Source: RefSeq, a predicted model, not a curated record